This 491-nucleotide ribosomal RNA is filed under the name uncultured bacterium. RNAcentral's name for it is "bacterial SSU rRNA". It matches the Rfam family "Bacterial small subunit ribosomal RNA", at positions 903 to 1397 of the family's 1533-position model. The record is from RNAcentral.
AAAGGAAUAGACGGGGGCCCGCACAAGCAGUGGAGUAUGUGGUUUAAUUCGAAGCAACGCGAAGAACCUUACCAGGGCUUGACAUCUACCGAAGCUCAAGAGAUUGAGUGUGCCUUCGGGAACGGUAAGACAGGUGGUGCAUGGUUGUCGUCAGCUCGUGUCGUGAGAUGUUGGGUUAAGUCCCGCAACGAGCGCAACCCCUAUUGUUAGUUGCCAUCAUUGAGUUGGGCACUCUAAUGAGACUGCCGGUGACAAAUCGGAGGAAGGUGGGGACGACGUCAAAUCAUCAUGCCCCUUAUGUCCUGGGCUACACACGUACUACAAUGGCCGUUAACAACGGGAAGCAAAGCCGCGAGGCGGAGCAAAUCCCCAAAAACGGUCUCAGUUCGGAUCGCAGGCUGCAACCCGCCUGCGUGAAGUUGGAAUUGCUAGUAAUCGCGAAUCAGCAUGUCGCGGUGAAUACGUUCCCGGGCCUUGUACACACCGCCCGU